Drosophila miranda is the source of this 1065-nucleotide long non-coding RNA. RefSeq lists it as uncharacterized. NCBI's taxonomy places the organism in Eukaryota, Metazoa, Arthropoda, Insecta, Diptera, Drosophilidae. The transcript has 2 exons. The record is from RefSeq and is a predicted model, not a curated record.
UUUAAUUGCACUAACUUGUUUUGGUUUUUGUUUUGCUUUUGUUUUUGUUACCAAAUGGUGAACCUUUUGUUUAUUUAUGCAAAUUACCAGCGGCGUUUCGGUGGUUGUGGUGAAGGCUGAUAAGCUCCCUUUCUGCCUCUGCCUCUGCCUCUCUGCCUGUACGUAAUGAUUGUGAAUCUGCCCCGCGGCCUAAGAGACUGGGAGAUUGUGAACAGCAAGAUUUGAAGCCAGUUUUCUCAAUUUCGAUUCCACAAAAAUUUAUUAAAAGAGGCUUUACCAAUCGAUCGUGGCUAAAAAUCAUCAAUAAUCAAAUCUAUAGGCUGUCGCUCUUAAGCAAUUAUGGCGAUAAGGGAAUCGAGAACGGGCCUAUUUUCCUGCGACUUUCACGAUAUUGCGGUUUUGUGCACUGUCGUAGGCGUUGCUUAAAGAGCGAACAGGUUUGCGCCUGAAAGUAUUUACGUGCAACCAGUUGGGGCUCCAACGGCAGUUUUCCCCACCCCAGCCACAAGGCCUGGUUGGCCCUACUAUGGCUUCGGGCAUGGCUUCCGCUUUUAAUUACAUGCAGCGGGGGUGAGGCAGAGAGGAGGAGAGAGGUAUACGUUGUAAUUAGAACGUGGCUUCGAAACUUUAUUUUUUGGAUCCGAAAACAGCGAGCCCUAACUGUAUCCGUCAUAUUUGUCUUUCCCGCUGCUGACAUUGCUAAUUAACAAGUGGUGCUCCGUACAAUUAACCUUAUGGCGUUCCGUAUGUAAAUGUAUUUCCCCCAGACGAUCAGAUAGAUUCUAGAAGAACAACAACUACCGAACAACCGAACCCAAUUAUUGACAAUACAGAAACGAUUAUGAAUCACUUGUUGACUAUGAAUUUCCAGUUUCCUCUCCAGCGUGGCGUACAUCUGGCAAAUGGCAAAUUACAAAUUAAGUAACAAAUGGAAUUGUCUCUCAAGGGGAAUGAAAUGCCAUUAUGAUGAAGGAAAAGCUCUCGGUAGCGCGGAUUUGGAAAGCAGCAUGCGUCACACUUGAGUUAAUUCGCAAAUUAUCAUCCCACUUAUCCACCACCCCCCCA